This is a long non-coding RNA of Homo sapiens (human), 1549 nucleotides long. Ensembl annotates it as ZNF503 antisense RNA 1. Its record names the gene ZNF503-AS1. The record is from Ensembl. NCBI's taxonomy places the organism in Eukaryota, Metazoa, Chordata, Mammalia, Primates, Hominidae.
ACCGAUCAGAUGCACAAGACUUGGAAGCAAGUAAACGUGGGCAAGGUGAGCUAGCUGGGCGUGGAGGAGAGUGAUCUCCCGGCAAGCAGGAGUCAGCUGGCAUGGUUUUGCUUCAAGUUGUGGGUCCAGAUCAUUUGGGAAGCAGCAGAGACCUGGGGAUGCUCUUGCCUGGUGGGCAGCACAAGCACGAGAGGUGCACCACACAGGUGCGUUGAAAGCCCCUGCCCGUGCCAAGUCUGCUGAAGUUCCAUUGGCCAAAGCCACUCACUUGGCCAAGCCUGUAGUAUCAGGUACUUUAAUCAGCAUUUAAUGACCCAGUCGAAAAUUCAUUGUUUGGACCCAAGCACUGGUGGGAAAGGCAGGAGGGGAGGCCUGCCUUCCUUCCUCCCUCCCGAGCCCUACAGCAGGCCAUGGAGUGGUGAGCGAGUUCGUACAGUGCCAACCACAUUCCCAGAAACUUCCAGCAGAGGUUAAUCCUGCUCCUCUCAGGUGGGCUUGGCCCAUUCUCUAGACUUUGGAAGGUAAUGUUCUAUAGAGGCCUGUUCUGAAGCUUUACCAGGUCAAACCGGAGAAGAACCCAACAAGUAACUCAUCCCAGCCUAACUAUUCUUCAAGGGCAAUCAACCUACAGCAUCCAAGCACAGAGAAAUCAAAUCCAUGGAGAAUCUUCAAAUUAGGCUCAGAAUCCAUUUGGGUCAAUGAAUUUACUGUUAUUAAGAUCUUAGUUGUGUUCAACCAUGAUUUGACAUACCUUAGAGUGAGAAGAUAUUCUUCCUGGCCUCAGACUAGUUGAAGGUAGAGAGAGAGACAGGCCCUUGGGUGUGGGGAGACCUCUCCUGGGAUAAUACACACAAAAAACCAAGAGCUGCUCACUGUGGUGCAGGAGACAGCAGGGCCUGAAGCCAGAGGCUCUGUGUCCUUGAAUACAAUGUUUUACUCCUCUGACCCCUGUUACUGUGAUUUGGAGAGGCAGACAAUAUAGGAUGGGCUUUGCAGGCAGGGAGGUCCAGUUAUAAUCCCAGCUCUUACUAAGUUGGGUAAGACUCACUCUGAGACUUAGUUUCUUCUGUCAUCUCUCAAUAGAAUCAUAAAGGUACUUUCCUCUUAGUGUUGUUUUAAAAUUCAGUAAAAUAAUGCAGGCUUAGCACAGGGUCUGAUGUAAAUUUUCAAUGAAUUAUCGUUGUCAAUAUUGUUCUGGAAAACAAGAGGGCAUAUUAGAAGAUCAAAAGUACUGCCAAGCAUUGAAGUGCCAAUUCUAGAUCCAGUCUCAGCCCUCUGAGAAUGGAUAUCAUUGUUUUCAAGCCAUUCAGAAACCAAUGUGAAUUGAACACCUAGUAUGAGCUCUCUGAGGGAAGAGCCAAGUCAUGCAUUUUUUAUCUUAAGGGGUCUUCAAUACCUCUAGCCCAAAACAGUAUCUCCAUCAGGAUUCUUCUCUGAUAGUGUUCAUUUCUUUUUUCUCAAUGGAUGCCUUAAAAAAAAAAUCCUACAAGGAAACCUGUACUCCUCAAAUACACCACUCAGGUGACCAUUAAAUCAUUUACAUUGUUAA